Molecule: long non-coding RNA, 272 nt
Organism: Orcinus orca (killer whale)
Lineage: Eukaryota; Metazoa; Chordata; Mammalia; Artiodactyla; Delphinidae
Exons: 3
Source: RefSeq, a predicted model, not a curated record
UAAAAAUAUGAGAAAUAGAGAAACAAGAUAACAAUUACAAGGAUACGUAUCCCAGUAUCACUCAUGAGCAUAUCUGGAGUUCAACGGUCAAAGUGAUCAAUGGGAAGGAAUGGCCAGAAAAGUUGCUGCUUUUUAUACCAGGCAAUGGCUGCGUUCAAGGCACAUAUUUUUUGAUCCCCAAUCUUGGGAAUUCUUCAGGUGAAAUUCAAAACUGGCUCUACAGACAGAGGGAAGGGAGAGACCAAAGGAAGAGGCUGACCAUUUCAGAUUGG